This 477-nucleotide ribosomal RNA is filed under the name uncultured bacterium. RNAcentral describes it as "bacterial SSU rRNA". It matches the Rfam family "Bacterial small subunit ribosomal RNA", at positions 16 to 507 of the family's 1533-position model. The record is from RNAcentral.
UCCGUGGCUCGAGGACGACGCUGGCGGCGUGCCUAACACAUGCAAGUCGAACGGAGUCGGCCCCGCAAGGGACUGACUUAGUGGCGAACGGGUGAGUAACGCGUGAGCAACCUGCCUUUCAGUGGGGGACAACAGUUGGAAACGACUGCUAAUACCGCAUAAAGCAUUUUGACCGCAUGAUCGAGAUGCCAAAGAUUUAUUGCUGAAAGAUGGGCUCGCGUCUGAUUAGAUAGUUGGUGAGGUAACGGCCCACCAAGUCGACGAUCAGUAGCCGGACUGAGAGGUUGAACGGCCACAUUGGGACUGAGAUACGGCCCAGACUCCUACGGGAGGCAGCAGUGGGGAAUAUUGGGCAAUGGGGGAAACCCUGACCCAGCAACGCCGCGUGAAGGAAGAAGGCUUUCGGGUUGUAAACUUCUUUUACCAGGGACGAAGAAAGUGACGGUACCUGGAGAAAAAGCCACGGCUAACUACGUG